UACGUAGGGUGCAAGCGUUGUCCGGAAUUAUUGGGCGUAAAGAGCUCGUAGGCGGUUUGUCGCGUCUGCUGUGAAAACCCGCGGCUUAACUGCGGGACUGCAGUCGAUACGGGCAGGCUAGAGUUCGGUAGGGGAGACUGGAAUUCCUGGUGUAGCGGUGGAAUGCGCAGAUAUCAGGAGGAACACCGGUGGCGAAGGCGGGUCUCUGGGCAGUAACUGACGCUGAGGAGCGAAAGCGUGGGGAGCGAACAGG
Molecule: ribosomal RNA, 253 nt
Filed under: uncultured bacterium
Lineage: Bacteria
Description: partial 16S ribosomal RNA
Rfam family: Bacterial small subunit ribosomal RNA
Source: RNAcentral